UAUUAGUCCAAACCAUGCCAAUCACACAAACCACAGGCCCUUACCAAUAAAAAAAAUCCAACCAGGUUCCUUGCCUUUUCCCUCUCUCGUCGGAAGCUUCUCACCGUCACGAACCAGGUCGUGAAACUAUGGAUCGGAAAUGGAUGUCUGCAAAUCGAUUGACUAAGGAAUAUGAGGAUGGAGUGAAAAUGUUUAUUAGGUUUGCUGUCGAGCAUGAAAAAGACCCUAGCAGAAUUAUAUGCCCGUGCUUAAGAUGUUGUUAUGCAAAGCGAAUUAGUGCGGCUGAGUUGGAAGACCAUUUAAUAUGUUACGGAAUUGAUCAAAGCUAUACAUGUUGGACAAGGCAUGGUGAGACAAGAGGAUCUCGCACGAAGUAACCCUUGUUUCACACUAUAGAGUAAAAUUUAGAAGAAAUGAGCAAGGGAUGCUUGGGAAAUGGAUGUUUGGGAGGAGUUAGAGUCAAGACCAUGAACUUGCAGAGGUACUCCACCAACCAUUUGAGGCUUUCUUUUAGGAAGUUAGUGUUAGGAUUUCUUUCUUCAACCUCUAAUCCGGCAUUAAUGCUUUAUUACUUUCAAUUUGUCAGAAAAUAAAUUAAUGACCGAUCCCUAUACUUCUAAUUGGUUAGUAUUUUUCUAGACAUUAAUGCUAUCACAAAAAUUGAUCUAAAAAAAUGUAGGUACACAAAAAGUAUGCACAUUGGACAUCAAAAUUGUUGAUUUGAGUUUGGUUAUAUGUCUAUUUUUGUUUAAAUGAAGGUUAUCCGGCAUACCUAGUGGGCAUUUAAGGGUAUAGGAUAGAUAUAUAUGAGCUAAUCACAUCAAAACACCACGCACAUAAUUUUAAUUUUAGGUACUUCAACCAUCUGGAUAAGCCAUGAAGAAAAUGAAAGCUUUCAAUGAGGUUGGUGUGGAGUACUGGAGUGGGGGCAUUCAGCAUGUGCAGGCUUUACUUUCAAUGAUUUACUGAUAGCCUAUUCUGAUAAACUUUUUUCUUAGAAUCUAUUCUCACAUGCAAAAACUAUUUCAUAUAAACUUUUCUCAGAAUCAAGGUGGAUUGUAGAAUCAAUUCAAGAAAGAUUUCAUAAUAUGGAAUUAAUAGCAAAACAUUUUGGAUUUGACUCCUCUAAAGUGAGAGUAAAGUAAGUCACCACAACUAUCAAUAGUGAUUACCUCUACUUUGAAAGUUAAUAAAACAACUCAAUUAUUGGUUGUGAUGACUUAUUAUAUCUUGUCUCUCACUUUAGAGGAGUCGGAUCCAAACAUAUUGGCAUCAGGUCAUGGAACUGAGCAGAAUAACAAGGACCUACCUUGCGGUCCAUACUGCCACUGUUCUUUCUUUUGUUAGCUUUUAAGAAGAUAGUCCAGACGAGGUUGCUUCCACGAAGGUAGUGUUAAUGGGAAGGGAAUGCCAAAUAAGGAACACGUAACACAUAAAAAGCUAUGCAUGAUUUGUAUGAGCACUGUGUUUCGUUUUGUCUCACUGAUGCAUACAAUUUGGAAUAGUGAAAUGUUGUCCAGUCCAAAUAUAAAGGAACCAAUCCGGUGCCUGUCUGUAAGAUUAAGAGCCUUUAGCAGCAUAAUUAUUAGUACUAAUGUUGAUUUGCCCACUACAUUUUGUAGCUACAUUGUCCUGUUUCCUAGCUUUGCUUCAGUGAUUUGUUUAUUUUUUAUAUUAGGGUAUGACAACAAAUGUUGUCAUGGGUGCACACAUUAAACAAUAAAUGUCUAAUUACGAAAUGUGUUUCAUCUUAU
Long non-coding RNA from Lotus japonicus, 1754 nucleotides. RefSeq lists it as uncharacterized. The transcript is spliced from 4 exons. Lineage: Eukaryota; Viridiplantae; Streptophyta; Magnoliopsida; Fabales; Fabaceae. The record is from RefSeq and is a predicted model, not a curated record.